This is a non-coding RNA of Rattus norvegicus (Norway rat), 5705 nucleotides long. The record is from RefSeq and is a predicted model, not a curated record. Lineage: Eukaryota; Metazoa; Chordata; Mammalia; Rodentia; Muridae.
UUGUAACAACAGAAUCCAGUGGGAUUCAGAGCGCUGCUGGGGAACACUUUGGAAACUUACACUCUAAAAAGCCGAAAGGCCUAAAAGCAGUGAAUGAAUUCUACCAAAGUGAAGAGAGAAACAGGCCCAUUACCAGUACAAGGUUGAAAUAAGGUCUCUCACACGGAAAAGCCCAGGACUACACGGAUUCACUACCAAGUUCUAUCAGACUCUUAAGGUCUAAUAGCAGCACUCCUUGAUUGGUCAAAAGUCAUCAAACUGAGCAGUUAUACCCAGCAUACUAUGGAAUGCUCAUUCCGUUAAAUAAGAGGAGAACACACAGCAAUCAAGAGCGUUAAAGAAAAAUCCAACGUGGCCAAGCGGGGAUUGGAACCCAGGUCUCUUGUGUAGAAUCUGGGGCUCAAGGGCACUCUGCCUGCUUGCCUCACAGAGUCCCUCUGUCAUCAGCCGCCACACUGACUACCUCUGCCUGCCAGCCCUGGGUCCUUUCCAAGAAAAGACAAAGCUGCAAACAAGCAGUAAUGACAUUGAUUAUUCCAAGCCAGAGGCAGGGGAUUUUGGAUCAUUUCCUUAAAAUGCUUGCUCAGCAACACUGAGGUCCUCACCCCAACCACCCUUAGUCCCAGGAAAUAAAUGUACAGUACGCCAUUGACGUGAAGCAGGGAAAAUUCCCUGUGGAGUUCUGCAGUCUCCUUCUCCUAGUUUGUCAAAUGCCAGCAGCAGCCAAGCCGACUGCCCUGUUUGCCUGUCUGUAUCUUAUUUCUGUAAUGUCUUGCAGAUUGCAGAAGCCCCCCACCCCAAUCCCCAAAGCUAGGCAAACCACAUCGUCUCCAAGCUUCCUAGAGCAGCACUCAGGUUCCCUGCUGUCCUUGGGCUUUGUAUAAUAUUGCCUCUGGGUGUCAUAUACUGUGAUUCUCUGCCAUCAGCCAUAUUUUGCUCUUUUUUUUCCCAAGGAAGAACAUACAAUUCAUUUUUAAUAUCCCUACAAUAUAUGUGACCAAAAUGUAAUUUAAAAGACGGACAAGUGGAAGACUUUCCUGUAUGUCAUGCGAAGCAUGAGAAGCGUUGUGUUCAAAAGCUAGUUUCCAGUUAUUAUAGCCACAGCCUUUCCCGCUUCACCCCUUUGUUACUAAGGAGGUUGAUGUGAAAGGAGAUGUGUCUCUUUCCUUAAAGACCUAUCUCUCUCUCAAGGCUGAGUUCUCCAUACCUGGAUUCACACAUCCCCCCACACCAUGGCAAUUACCCCCCUGGUAACCACUCAUGACAUCGCAGACACAAUGUACUAGCAGAAGAAAUGAGAGCUCCUGAAAUGCAGAGAAGUCAGCUCCCUCUGUGGCCUAAGGACUCUGAAGGAAUAGGAAAUGGAGGGUUUGUUUAUUUAUUUAUUUUUAUUUAGCAGAAAAGUAACUCUUGAAAACUAUCCUUGGAUUUUGACUGCUUAUUGAAUUUCAAAGCUUCUUGUUACCUUAGAUCCUGAAACUGUGUUCUGAGGCCCACAAAAAUUUUUAGAUAACCCUACAGCAAGCUGUGUGUUUGUUUAACUAUAUCUCAUGCUUGUAAUAUUUGGCAGAUUGCAGAAGCCCCACCCCCACCCCAUCUGGGCAAAAACACAUCACCUGUGAGAUUCCUAGGGCAGCACUCAACUAUUUCCCUGUUGUCCUUGAGCUUCAUACAAUAUUGCCUUUGAAUACCACAGGUAUAUGGUGGUAUAACAUACUCCGUGUGUGUGUGUGUGUGUGUGUGUGUGUGUCACACAGCCCUACAGCAACCUGCAGGGGAAAGAUACAAUGAAACCAACAGAUCUCAAAUCUUCAGCAAUCCUCCCCCAAAAGACCUCUCAGGUAUCUCAAACGAGGGGCUUUUAAAAUGCUGCCAUGGAUGUACAGAAAAGCAAUGUGUUCCUGGAAAGUCUUUCUCCUACCUUUUCUUACCCAUAAUAUAUGAAUUACCCAAAGUCUCAAGCCAAGGUUAACAGCUCUAAGGAAAUUUGUGGAUGGCAACCAAAAGAAGAGUGGGUGCACCACAUUCACGUGACACGUUCACCACACGAGCUUUGCCUAAACCGGUGGGACCACUGGAUUGUAAGCUGGUUUGCGAGAGGAGAAUCAGCGACCACUUUGUGGCUGGCAUUUUCCACUGCAAAUGGCCCCAGCUUUGGAUGCCUAAAUUUUAGUUUUAAAUACUAUUUAGAUCCAUCAGGGCUCUUGGAGAUGGAUUUCAAGUUGCAGAUAUGAAAGUGCACACACACACACACACACACACACACACACACACACACACACACACACACACUGGCCUGCUCCUUUCACAAGAAGCUGUUGUAAAUGCAGGCUGCCUUACUCUCUGCGGUUGGAGGUGUGGAAAGAAACAAGAAACAGAAAAGAACAAUUUGAAGAGAACCUGAAUUUACAAUCUGGGAGCCAGGGAGUAAACAUUGCACUGUAAGCUGGUAAGCUCCUUGCUUUAAUUACUGGCCUGAAAAAAUUUCAAUUUGAUGUGCUUUAAUUAGUCACGGAAGGGCUCACCAAUUAUUUUCUAAAUAGAGAGAUUGAAAAGCAAACAGAAGUGGGAGUGAAAGGCCUUCAAGGAUUAAUCCUCGAAUUCUUCUCAUUUCCCCCCCCAAAUUCGGGGCUAACAUUUUGUGGUGGGAAACCUGAUCUUGCACCGGUAAACCGACCUCUGUGGUACUCUCUGCCCACUGUUCUAGGUGACAGGAUUUAGUAGGCCAAGGGCCCCAGCAAGAGGGCUACGGAAAUGUCCACUCUGACAAAAUAACACAACUAAGCUUCCUCUUAAAAUGCAGGAAAUCGAACCAGGAGAGUUCUGUUUGUCACUUGGGUGGACUAAGCAAACGAGAGUCCCUGGUAGCCUUUACUCAUCAGCUUCUGCCUGACCUAUUUUACUUUCGUUUUAAAAGUACUUUUUUAAAAUAGUUUUUGCCUGUCCGUCUAGGAUCAUCAGUUUGUGCCAACAGAAGAAGGUAAGAAAAUUAAUUUUAAUUAACUUUCCUUUCGGAAAUGUGUCCCACAGAUUUCUUAAAAAGUCAAAACAGCAAGAUGUUGCCAGAGCUAAAUUUAAGUAACCCUAGGAAGGCCAUAAGCUGAGAAAGGUGUUAGCCAAGGACUCACUAAGCACUCUGGGGAUAAAGGUGCAUCAUUUUCAUGGAAACUUGAGCUCCUUACUUCAAGCCCACCAGCCAGCCAACAACUGCUGGACUGAGUCUGAAGCAGCUUCUGCCACAGAAGGGACUCUGCUCAGGUGAUUAAGACUUCCAAGAGCAUGGAACCCCUUAAAAGAGAUGGGGCCAUAACACCAUGUAGCCUCAGUUACAGCUGGUCCUGGCAUUGAAGGCUCUAAGGACUAAUGUGGGCUUAGCAGGGCAUCAUUAUCUGUGAGGCCUGGGCAAACAUCUGUGCACAGACAUGUGGCAUGGCCUUUUCAGCAAUGGGCCAGUGAUCUGAGAGAACAGCUUAAAGGAAGAAAGGUCUAUUUGGGUUCACAGUUUCAACAGGUUUCAUUUCCGGUCCACUAGCUUGGUUGCUGUGAGUCUAAGGCAAAGCAUCCUGACAGGAAGGGUGUGGUGGAGCACACUCACUGCGUGGCAUGAGCAGGAGAAGCAGAGAGUCCUUAUACUUGAGGGCUUCAUCCUUUUGCUUUUAUUGUUUUGUUCCAUUCAUGCCCACAGCCUAUUUAAUGAUGUUAUCAUUCUCUCUCUCUCUCUCUCUCUCUCUCUCUCUCUCUCUCUCUCUCUCACACACACACACACACACACACACACACACAUAUACACACACACCUUACUCUCUCUCUCACACACACACCUCUCUCUCUCACACACACACACACACAUACACACAUACACACCUUACUCUCACACACACACACACACACACCUCUCUCUCUCUCUCACACACACACACACAUCCACACAUACACACCUUACUCUCACACACACACACCUCUCUCUCUCACACACACACACACAUCCACACAUACACACCUUACUCUCUCUCUCUCUCACACACACACACCUCUCUCUCUCUCUCUCACACACACACACACACACACACCUUACUCUCUCACACACACCUUUCUCUUUAUCUCUCUCUCACACACACAUCUCUCUCUCUCACACACACACACACACCUUACUCUCACACACACACACACACACCUUACUCUCCCACACACACACCUUUCUCUCUCUCUCUCUCUUUCUCUCUCUCUCUCUCACACACACACACACACACAUAUACACACACACACACCUUACAUGUUCGGUGUGGCUGCGUGCAGAAGAUGUGUCUUACAAGUCAAAGCAAAACCCAAGACAGUAGGUCAACCGUGGUCCUAGGAUCUUGCUGGGAAUCUGAGCAGAAAACACGAGGAAUGGAAAGUGCCUAGAGUGACAGCUCCAAGGGAAACCUCCAAAGCUGAGUGCACUGAUAAACACCUACAGUCCCAGCGAUCUAUAGCCAGAGGCAGGAGGAUCACAAGUGUGAAGACAGCCCUGGUCUACACAGUGAGUUCCAGGCAAGCCAAGGUUAUAUGAUGGAGACUGAGAACUAGCAAAUUUCGGACCUGUCCAGAGUCAGCCUGUGAAUUUAAAUCAGAGCUGGGGACAAAAGAAAAACCUCACUGUUUCGAAGCUGUGGACACUGGGACAUCACAAGCUCAGGCUUCCCGCUUAAGGAUGGAACUCUGCAUAGAGCGAUGUCAACUUCUUGAUCAACGGAGAAUCCCAUGUUGAAUCUCUCUCGAAGAUAAUUUACUCCAAGUAAAAGAUUUUCCUGUUAAGUAUUACUUAUGAUUGAACAAUAGGUAUCAUUAGGUAAGAAUUUUGAGGAUGAGUAAGUUCCUUGCAAAAAUGAAUACAAAACUUGCCUCUGAUCAGCCUGAUUAGAACACUGACAGGAGGAGGAGGAGGAAUCUGUGAUGAUGUUUUGAUAAACGCCCUCACUCAGGUGCCCUAACAUUUACAUGUUAAGUUUCAACUAUGGAUUCUGCACACAUUUACAAUACUUCCUCUCAACCAAUGUAAGAGACAGCCUGAGGCUGGCUAGAUGGGUGGAGGGGAAACGGGCCUGCCUUUGAGCAUGUGACCAUGUGAGUUCUCUUCCUGGGGUUCACACGGUGGAAAGAGAGAACUGGCUCUCUCAAGGUAUCCUCUGACACCUACAUAUGCACAUUGACACAUGCAGAUUUGUGUGCACAAACACAAAUCAAAAAAUGAAUACGUAGCAAUGUUUUAUUUAGAAAGACACACUGUCUGGGCCCAGCAGCCUCCCCCUAGCUAAUAUGGAAUCUAUCUAUAAAUCCUCCUGUAGUUGAGCUGUCUAAAUUACAGGUGACAUAAUUUAGGACAUGACCUAAGUCAAGAACCCACACUGAAUAAUACCCUCAGAGACCGAUGUCUAUCCAUUAACAGAAGCCUUCAAAAGCAUCUAAUCUUUCUUUCUCAGACCCUGGUUGUGCGUUGGGAGAAACAAAAAAUGAAUGAUCCCCUUUAAGAACCAUAUUGUUGGGGCUGGAGAGAUGGCUCAGCAGUUAAGAGCACUGACUGCUCUUCCUGAGGUCCUGAGUUCAAAUCCCAGCAACCACAUGGUGGCUCACAAUCAUCUGUAAUGAGAUCUAAUGCUCUCUUCUGGUGUGUCUGAAGACCACUACAGUGUAUUCAUAUAUAAUAAAUAAAAAUUUAAAAAACA